This 604-nucleotide ribosomal RNA is filed under the name uncultured Chaetothyriales. RNAcentral describes it as "eukaryotic LSU rRNA". The stretch from base 255 to 408 matches the Rfam family "5.8S ribosomal RNA". Lineage: Eukaryota; Fungi; Ascomycota; Eurotiomycetes; Chaetothyriales. The record is from RNAcentral.
CCCCUUAACUUCCGUAAAUUUUCUUGCUAACUUUUUCUCUCUUAGGUGAACCUGCGGAAGGAUCAUUAUCGAGUUCGGGUCCUUUGGGGCCCAAUCUCCAACCCUAUGUCUAUAUACCCUGUUGCUUCGGCGGGCCCGUUGGCAUUGUCAACCGCCGGAGGGUGUUGAUUCGCCCUCUAGCUCGUGCCCGUCGAUGGCCAAUUUUCGACUCUUGAUGAAUAUGUCUUCUGAGUAUGAAUAUAAAAAUAAGUAAAAACUUUCAACAACGGAUCUCUUGGUUCUGGCAUCGAUGAAGAACGCAGCGAAAUGCGAUAAGUAAUGCGAAUUGCAGAAUUCCGUGAGUCAUCGAAUCUUUGAACGCACAUUGCGCCCUUUGGCAUUCCGAAGGGCAUGCCUGUUCGAGCGUCAUUAUCAACCCUCAAGCCUAGCUUGGUAUUGGGCGACGGUGGUCAUUCACCCGCUUCAAAGGCAACGACGGCGUUCGCAAGACCCCCGGUACAAUGAGCUUUUCACAAGGCACGUACUGUGGUGGGCUUGGGGACCCGGUCUACCCGUUAUUUCUCAGGUUGACCUCGGAUCAGGUAGGGAUACCCGCUGAACUUAA